RNAcentral lists this ribosomal RNA (194 nucleotides) under uncultured bacterium. RNAcentral describes it as "partial 16S ribosomal RNA". It matches the Rfam family "Bacterial small subunit ribosomal RNA", at positions 338 to 524 of the family's 1533-position model. The record is from RNAcentral.
CCUACGGGAGGCAGCAGUGGGGAAUUUUGGACAAUGGGGGCAACCCUGAUCCAGCCAUUCCGCGUGAGUGAAGAAGGCCUUCGGGUUGUAAAGCUCUUUCGGCAGGAACGAAACGGUGCGCUCUAACAUAGCGCGCUACUGACGGUACCUGAAGAAGAAGCACCGGCUAACUACGUGCCAGCAGCCGCGGUAAU